UGGGGAAUAUUCCGCAAUGGACGAAAGUCUGACGGAGCAAUGCCGCGUGAGUGAUGAAGGCUUUUGGGUCGUAAAACUCUGUCUUUUGGGACGAAAUUCAUAUGUGCUAAUACCAUGUAUGAUUGACGGUACCUUAGGAGGAAGCCCCGGCUAACUACGUGCCAGCAGCCGCGGUAAUACGUAGGGGGCAAGCGUUGUCCGGAUUUAUUGGGCGUAAAGGGCGUGUAGGCGGUUUAAUAAGUUGGGUGUGAAAACUCUGGGCUCAACCCAGAGACUGCAUUCAAAACUGUUUUACUUGAGGGCAGGAGAGGAAAGUGGAAUUCCAAGUGUAGCGGUGAAAUGCGUAGAUAUUUGGAAGAACACCAGUGGCGAAGGCGACUUUCUGGACUGUUUCUGACGCUGAGGCGCGAAAGCCAGGGGAGCGAACG
RNAcentral lists this ribosomal RNA (428 nucleotides) under uncultured prokaryote. RNAcentral's name for it is "bacterial SSU rRNA". It matches the Rfam family "Bacterial small subunit ribosomal RNA", at positions 355 to 774 of the family's 1533-position model. The record is from RNAcentral.